This 253-nucleotide ribosomal RNA is filed under the name uncultured bacterium. Its description in RNAcentral is "partial 16S ribosomal RNA". It matches the Rfam family "Bacterial small subunit ribosomal RNA", at positions 524 to 776 of the family's 1533-position model. The record is from RNAcentral.
UACAGAGGUCCCAAGCGUUGUUCGGAUUCACUGGGCGUAAAGGGUGCGCAGGUGGGUUUGCAAGUUCGAUGUGAAAGCCCCGGGCUUAACCCGGGAACUGCGUUUGAUACGGAUGGGCUAGAGUUCGGGAGAGGAGAGUGGAAUUCCCAGUGUAGAGGUGAAAUUCGUAGAUAUUGGGAAGAACACCGGUGGCGAAGGCGGCUCUCUGGACCGAUACUGGCGCUGAGGCGCGAAAGCGUGGGGAGCAAACAGG